CAUAGCGUAUAUUAAAGUUGUUGCGGUUAAAAAGCUCGUAGUUGGAUUUCUUCCAGGGGCAGUCGGUCCACACUACGUGUGCGUAUCUGAUUUGACUUUGGAAUCCUCUUGGGGAACAUCUCUGCGCUUAACUGCGUGGAAUGGUAUUCAAGACUUUUACUUUGAGGAAAUUAGAGUGUUCACGGCAGGCAAUCGCCCUGAAUACAUUAGCAUGGAAUAAUAAUAUAGGAUUUCGGUUCUAUUUUGUUGGUUUCUAGAGCUGAAAUAAUGAUUAAUAGGGACACUUGGGGGCAUUCGUAUUAUCACGUCAGAGGUGGAAUUCUUGGAUUGUGUUACGACGAACUACUGCGAAAGCAUUUGCCAAGGAUGUUUUCAUUGAUCAAGAACGAAAGUAAGGGGAUCGAAGACGCUUAGAUACCGUCGUAGUCUUUACCAUAAACUAUGCCAACUAGGGAUUGGAGGGCGUUCUUCAUUCGACUCCUUCAGCACCUUAUGAGAAAUCAAAGUUUUUGGGUUCCGGGGGGAGUAUGGUCGCAAGGCUGGAACUUAAA
RNAcentral lists this ribosomal RNA (551 nucleotides) under uncultured marine picoplankton. RNAcentral describes it as "SSU rRNA". It matches the Rfam family "Eukaryotic small subunit ribosomal RNA", at positions 593 to 1148 of the family's 1831-position model. The record is from RNAcentral.